UACAGAGGGUGCGAGCGUUAAUCGGAAUGACUGGGCGUAAAGGGCGCGUAGGUGGUUAUGUAAGAUGGAUGUGAAAUCCCUGGGCUUAACCUAGGAACAGCAUCGGUGACUGCAUAGCUGGAGUACUGUAGAGGGUAGUGGAAUUUCCGGUGUAGCGGUGAAAUGCGUAGAGAUCGCAAGAACACCAGUGGCGAAGGCGGCUCACUGGCCCGGUACUGACGCUGAGGUGCGAAAGCGUGGGGAGCAAACAGG
Molecule: ribosomal RNA, 252 nt
Filed under: uncultured bacterium
Lineage: Bacteria
Description: partial 16S ribosomal RNA
Rfam family: Bacterial small subunit ribosomal RNA
Source: RNAcentral